Molecule: ribosomal RNA, 340 nt
Filed under: Pheidole erratilis
Lineage: Eukaryota; Metazoa; Arthropoda; Insecta; Hymenoptera; Formicidae
Description: partial 12S ribosomal RNA
Source: RNAcentral
UUAUAAAUAAAAUUUAAUUAAGUAAAGAUUAAAUGUAAUCAUUAAAUUUAGAUAAUUUGGCGGUAUUUUAAGUAGUUAGAGGAAUUUGUUGAUUAAAUGAUAUUCCACGAAUGGAUAGUCCUAAUAAAUUUUUAUGUAUUGUUGUAUUAAAAUUAUUUUAAUAGAAUAAUAAUUAAAAAAUUUAAUUUAAUUUAAAUUCAAAUCAAAAUGUAGAAUUAUUAGGGUUAGAUGAAUUACAGUUUAAUUUAAUAUUGGAGUUUAUCUUUUAAUUAGAUUUAUUAAAGAGGAUUUAAAAGUAAAUUUAAAAAAAUAUUUAAGUUGAAAUUAUUAGUGAAAUAUG